GAGUUUGAUCCUGGCUCAGGAUGAACGCUGGCGGCAUGCCUAAUACAUGCAAGUCGAACGGAAUCUUAUAUGUUCCUCGUUUCGGAUUUAGUUCCGAGUUGGGGAACAAUAAGAUUUAGUGGCGGACGGGUGAGUAACACGUUGGUACCUACCCUCUAGUGGGGAAUAACUUCGAGAAAUCGAGGCUAAUACCGCAUAAUAUCUACGGAUUAAAGCAUUUAUGCGCUAGAGGAGGGGCCUGCGUCUGAUUAGCUUGUUGGUGAGGUAAAAGCUCACCAAGGCGACGAUCAGUAGCUGGAUCGAGAGGUUGACCAGCCACACUGGGACUGAGAUACGGCCCAGACUCCUACGGGAGGCAGCAGUAAGGAAUCUUCCACAAUGGGCGAAAGCCUGAUGGAGCAAUGCCGCGUGCAGGAUGACGGCCUUCGGGUUGUAAACUGCUUUUAUAUAGGAAGAUUAUGACGGUACCAUAUGAAUAAGGACCGGCUAACUACGUG
RNAcentral lists this ribosomal RNA (497 nucleotides) under uncultured bacterium. RNAcentral describes it as "bacterial SSU rRNA". It matches the Rfam family "Bacterial small subunit ribosomal RNA", at positions 9 to 507 of the family's 1533-position model. The record is from RNAcentral.